RNAcentral lists this ribosomal RNA (498 nucleotides) under uncultured bacterium. Its description in RNAcentral is "partial 16S ribosomal RNA". It matches the Rfam family "Bacterial small subunit ribosomal RNA", at positions 28 to 507 of the family's 1533-position model. The record is from RNAcentral.
GACGAACGCUGGCGGCGUGCCUAAUACAUGCAAGUCGAGCGGACGGAUGGGAGCUUGCUCCCAGACCGUCAGCGGCGGACGGGUGAGUAACACGUGGGCAACCUGCCUGUAAGACUGGGAUAACUCCGGGAAACCGGGGCUAAUACCGGAUAACUCUUUCCCUCACAUGAGGGAAAGCUGAAAGAUGGCAUCUCGCUAUCACUUACAGAUGGGCCCGCGGCGCAUUAGCUAGUUGGUGAGGUAACGGCUCACCAAGGCGACGAUGCGUAGCCGACCUGAGAGGGUGAUCGGCCACACUGGGACUGAGGCACAGCCCAGACUCCUACGGGAGGCAGCAGUAGGGAAUCUUCCGCAAUGGACGAAAGUCUGACGGAGCAACGCCGCGUGAGUGAUGAAGGUUUUCGGAUCGUAAAACUCUGUUGUCAGGGAAGAACAAGUACCGGAGUAACUGCCGGUACCUUGACGGUACCUGACCAGAAAGCCACGGCUAACUACGUG